This is an RNA transcript of Quercus lobata, 1303 nucleotides long. It is a transcript of the gene named UDP-glucuronate:xylan alpha-glucuronosyltransferase 1-like, with no coding region annotated. The record is from RefSeq and is a predicted model, not a curated record. The transcript has 2 exons. Lineage: Eukaryota; Viridiplantae; Streptophyta; Magnoliopsida; Fagales; Fagaceae.
GUCAUCCCUCAACAUGUUGACGAUAUGCAUGAUUGUUGCCAGCAUCUCUCUGAAUCAUAACCUGAGAUGGUUUACACAGAACAUGUGCACCGAGGAGCAUAUGCAACAAUUCUCCAUUCAGCUCAUGUUUAUGUUUGUGGAGCUAUUGCUGCUGCCCAGAGCAUCCGCAUGUCUGGGUCCACCUGAGACCUUGUGAUACUUGUAGAUGAGACAAUCAGUAGAUACUACAGAAGUGGACUUGAGGCUGCAGGAUGGAAGAUUAGGACAAUCCAAAGGAUAAGGAACCCCAAAGCUGAGAAAGAUGCAUAUAAUGAAUGGAAUUACAGCAAGUUCCGGUUAUGGCAGUUAACAGAUUAUGAUGGGAUCAUUUUCAUCGAUGCUGAUUUGUUUAUACUCAGAAACAUUGAUUUCUUAUUUAAGAUGCCACAGAUUUCAGCAACAGGGAACAAUGGUACACUUUUUAACUCUGGUGUAAUGGUUAUUGAGCCAUCAAAUUGUACUUUCCAGCUUUUGAUGGAUCACAUUAAUGAGUUUGAGUCCUACAAUGGAGGGGACUAGGGAUACUUGAAUGAAGAUUUUACAUGGUGGCAUAGGAUUCCAAAACACAAGAAUUUCUUGAAGAAUUUCUGGAUUGGUGAUGAAGAAGAGGUAAAGCAAAUGAAAACUAGGCUCUUCGGUGCUGAGCCUCCAGUUCUGUAUGUCCUUCACUAUCUGGGUGUGAAGCCAUGGCUGUGCUUCCGUGACUAUGAUUGUAAUUGGAAUGUUGAUAUAUUCCAAGAGUUUGCCAGUGAUGUAGCUCACGAAAAGUGGUGGAAAGUACAUGAUGCAAUGCCAAUGCUGUUCCAGCAGUUUUGCCUGUUGCAAUCAAAGCAAAAGGCACAAUUAGAAUGGGACCGUAGGCAAGCUGAGAUAGCAAACUACACAGAUGGUCAUUGGAGGAUUAAAGUUAAGGAUCAACGUUUAAAGAAAUGCAUAGACACUUACUGCUCCUGGAAGAGCAUGUUAAAGCACUGGGGUGAGACAAAUUGGACAGAUGAGGACCCUUUUACUCCAACGCCUCCUGCAAUUUCAAGAGCAUCUCUCUCUAGAAUGUGAGUUGUAAAUUCUAUUCUUCUCAUCAAACCUUUGCCUUCAGUAUCUGUGUCCUCACUAUGCUCAUGCCUUCAUCAUGUAAAUCGCAUAGUUCCAAGGACUUCAUUUUUUUUUUCCCCAUCUUUUUAAUUCCUGAAAGUGUUUUUGACCCAUUCUUUACUCUGGGUAUAAUAGACUUCAUCACCUUCGAUAAGGUUGAUAUAUUUACAGU